Solanum dulcamara is the source of this 722-nucleotide long non-coding RNA. RefSeq lists it as uncharacterized. The transcript has 2 exons. The record is from RefSeq and is a predicted model, not a curated record. Lineage: Eukaryota; Viridiplantae; Streptophyta; Magnoliopsida; Solanales; Solanaceae.
GCCUAGUAUUUAAGUGGAGAAGGAUAGAUGGUAGGCCCAUUAUCACAUAGUUACGAACUGUGUGCCAACAAUCUCCCAGGGAUCUCUCACUUAUCAAAAGGGGAAAAGAGUUGUUCUCUUUGCAAGACAUGACACAAGUUUCUCUAGUUAACAAUGUUUUCUGAGACAUCUAACAUCAUGUGAUGGCCUCUUUUACCUGACAGCAUGCUUUUGCCCUAAUUAUUUGCAUGGUUCAUGUUCUGAUUACUGGUGCAGGCACUUUAUCUCAGAAACAACGGGCUCAGAUCCCUUCCUAGCAGCAUUUUUAAACAAUGCUGCGAACUCUCUACACUAGAUCUCCAUGGAACUGAUAUAACUAUAGAUGUUAUCAGCCAGAUUGAAGGAUGGGAGAAUUUUGAUGAGAAAAGACGCUCGAAGCAUCAGAAGCAACUGGACUUCAGAGUGAGCAGCUCUGGCAAAUUUGAUGAAGGAGCUGAUAAAAGCUGAUAGGCCAGAUACAAAUUGCUCGGUAAUGCGGUUUUAUAUACACCCUGACAUACAUUUGCAUUGUGAUCCCUAGCAAACUUUACAGAAGAAUCUUUUAGUACCUGUUAAGAUACAUCAAGAAAUUAUAAUGAGCAUACUGCUCCUGUGUACACUCCCUACAGAUUUACCAUUGUCCUGAUGCUUUGUGACAUAAAACUGUUACAUGCAUUGUUGAAUGAAAGUUCCCUUAAGAUGCA